Nanorana parkeri is the source of this 644-nucleotide long non-coding RNA. RefSeq lists it as uncharacterized. NCBI's taxonomy places the organism in Eukaryota, Metazoa, Chordata, Amphibia, Anura, Dicroglossidae. The transcript is spliced from 3 exons. The record is from RefSeq and is a predicted model, not a curated record.
CCCCGCAAAAGUGGAACAUUCCAGACGAUAUUUAAGGGCUCUGCAGGGCCGCUGGUGGCUCAGAGCUGCUCUGGGUCGUAGGGAGGGUCGUAGUCGGGGCAGGUAACGAUAGAGCAGGUGGGGGCGGCGGAGACAAGGUAGAGGGGAGGCGGGCUGAUGGGGGAGGCCUGGAUGGUCGCGGCGGUGUAGGAUGCGGCCCGGGAAAGGCGCCGGCCCGGCCAUCUCCUGAGGAGGGAGAUAAACAAGCCCUUAACUCUUCAUGCUCCGGAGCAAGAGCUGCAGUCACUGGGGGGCCUGUCAUUGCUGCCCUCAGCACAGCAUCGUUCUCCUACGCGGGCUGAAGAUGACACUGAACAUACGGGCCGGCACUGCAUUGGUUUGGAGGGUGAAAUGAUGGGGCCAAACUGAAAUUUUCACUUGUCGAGCCCAGUCAAGACUGGCACAAAGUUUGGCAACAUGUCAUAUACUUCUUAAUGAGAAGACAAAUGAGUCGCCCUUCCUAGACAUCAUGAUCUCCAUGAUUACAGAACAAUUACAAAAACAAAGUCUGGAGGACCUAAAAUGCAAAUCUUUCAGUAUAAGCCUGCCACUGCCUGAUCAUCCAGACCCUGAGGCGUGCAGCAGUCCUUACCAUUUUGUGACAG